Molecule: transfer RNA, 73 nt
Filed under: Camelus bactrianus (Bactrian camel)
Lineage: Eukaryota; Metazoa; Chordata; Mammalia; Artiodactyla; Camelidae
Also listed under: 2 other names
Rfam family: tRNA
About the family: Transfer RNA (tRNA) molecules are approximately 80 nucleotides in length. Their secondary structure includes four short double-helical elements and three loops (D, anti-codon, and T loops).
Source: Rfam by way of RNAcentral
GAGGGUAUAGCUCAAGUGGUAGAGCACAUGCUUAGCAUGCACGAGGUCCUGGGUUCAAUCCCCAGGACCUCUA